CGAAGGUGAAGUUCCACUUGUAUGCAAACGUAAACCCUAAAUUUAACCCUAAACAUGGCCAUGCCUAACUUAAGACACAGAUGAAGAGUCCAUGAAACACUGAACACUGAUGAACACUGAUGAAGAGUCCAAAACACUGCCUCAUUUUUAUUUAUUUAUUUCUAUUAACAGGUGAAAGAGAUGGAGAUGAUGGAGAAGCGUGUCAAGCCUCUUUGUCUCUUUUUGAUGUUCGGUGAGGUGUUCGCUCUGGGCGAAGUCUCAGGGUCACAGGGAACCUGGAGCCUAUCCCAGGGAGCAUCGGGCACAAGGCGGGGUACACCCUGGACAGGAUGCCGGUCAAUAUUGAUUCAGCGCAAUCAAAACAUUUUCCUGUUUUUCAUUUACAUUAUUAACAUAAAUGACUGUACAGUUUACAGUAUAUGAGGUACCUGCUGGACUGGACUGGAUAUUAUGGAGUGACUAAUCUAUAAAUACAUACAGUAUAUAUCAGAAAUACAUAUAUACACACACAUAAAUAGGUCACAUAUUUCCCCAUAACAAUCUCAUCCAAACUUAAAUACUUAACAACCACUGGCAACAGCUAUUCUCAGCACUAGGCUCGGAGGAUUUGCCUCUUUGCCAAUACUGGUAUAGUGUAAUCUGUUGCAUUGAUCAUUAAUAUAAGUUGUUGUAGGGUUGUACUCUUUACAACCAGUAACAAUUAUUGUUAGUGAGUUGUAAUUAAGGUACAAAAU
Long non-coding RNA from Ictalurus punctatus (channel catfish), 734 nucleotides. The record is from Ensembl. NCBI's taxonomy places the organism in Eukaryota, Metazoa, Chordata, Actinopteri, Siluriformes, Ictaluridae.